Long non-coding RNA from Chelonia mydas (Green sea turtle), 188 nucleotides. RefSeq lists it as uncharacterized. The record is from RefSeq and is a predicted model, not a curated record. The transcript is spliced from 3 exons. NCBI's taxonomy places the organism in Eukaryota, Metazoa, Chordata, Testudines, Cheloniidae.
AUCUUCACUGGAAACGGUAAAGAGCGCUCUCCCAGCACUCUAAAAAAACCACCUCCACGAGGAGCAUGGCUCCCAGCGCAGGUGCACUGUCUAUAUUGGCACGUUACAGCGCUGUAACUGUCAGCACUCAGGGGGGUGUUUUUUCACACCCCUGAGCGAGAAAGUUGCAGCGCUGUUGCCAGUGUGAA